This 477-nucleotide ribosomal RNA is filed under the name uncultured bacterium. RNAcentral's name for it is "SSU rRNA". It matches the Rfam family "Bacterial small subunit ribosomal RNA", at positions 26 to 518 of the family's 1533-position model. The record is from RNAcentral.
AGGACGAACGCUGGCGGCGUGCUUAACACAUGCAAGUCGAACGGAAAGGCCCGCUUGCGGGUACUCGAGUGGCGAACGGGUGAGUAACACGUGGGCAACCUGCCCUCAGCUUCGGGAUAACACUUGGAAACAGGUGCUAAUACCGGAUAAUAACCUUUCAUCGCAUGGUGUGGGGUUCAAAGUUUUUCGGCUGGGGAUGGGCCCGCGGCCUAUCAGCUUGUUGGUGGGGUAAUGGCCUACCAAGGCGACGACGGGUAGCCGGCCUGAGAGGGCGACCGGCCACACUGGGACUGAGACACGGCCCAGACUCCUACGGGAGGCAGCAGUGGGGAAUAUUGCGCAAUGGGCGGAAGCCUGACGCAGCGACGCCGCGUGAGGGAUGACGGCCUUCGGGUUGUAAACCUCUUUCAGCUCUGACGAAGCGCAAGUGACGGUAGGAGCAGAAGAAGCACCGGCCAACUACGUGCCAGCAGCCGC